RNAcentral lists this long non-coding RNA (2190 nucleotides) under Marmota monax (woodchuck). The record is from RNAcentral. Lineage: Eukaryota; Metazoa; Chordata; Mammalia; Rodentia; Sciuridae.
CGAGAGGACGCGGCCCUGGCGGAGGAAGGGGCGGCCAGCUGAGGGAUGCGGGUGGCCUGAGGCAGGAAAAGGCAGGGCAGAGGCUCCCCAGAGACCCGGAUGUCACCCCCUGGGGACCCUUGCACCUCCCAGCUCCCGAGCUGGGGGGGGGGACACCUGUGCUGUUUGAGUGGCACUGCCGACAUUGGCGUUCCUUGUCGCAGCAGCCACAGGACAGUAGCACAUGGCCACAGUGGCCUGUCUAGGAAAGUGUGUCAGGAGACUCUGUUGGGAGGAGAGUGAGUGGGGCAUGUCCCAGUGUCCCCUCCUGGACUUCCCACCUGUGGGGAAGGGACGGGCUGGGUACCUUCCUGGAGAGCCAAGGUCGUGUCCACCCGAGGGAGGGUCCUGGGAAGGAGGGCAGCACUGAGCCGAAAGCUGCCCACGACUUAGGGAGCCCUGCGGAGGGACUGGGCAGGGGUGGCCUGGACCCCAGGCUCAGGUGAAGGGCCCUACUGCCCCAGCUGACAGCAGUGCUGGCCAGGGUUGGAGCCGGGACGGAGCCCUGGGCUGGGAGUCCUCAGCGGCUGCGGCGGGGGCAGUGGUCCCCUCCUGGGGGGGGCGGGGCACGGGGUCGGAGGCCGCUCUCCUUUCCAAGGGUUUUCUGAGGGCAGACUCCUCCUGGCUUCUCUCUGACCUUCCUGGGGGCUUGGGAGAGAGCCGGUGAGAUGACAGUCCCAGCCACACGGGGCCUGGGCCCUUCAGCUAAGGUCACGUCAACAGAGAGCCGCACAGGUGGGAAGAGUGAGGUCCAGAGAGGCAAAGACACUGGCUCAGGGCCACCCAGCAUGGAGUGGCAAAUUCUUGAUUUGAACUCAUGCCCCGCAGAUUCAGAGAACGAGGGACAGAGGAGGGGUUCUCGGGCCCAAGAGGCUAAGUCAGGAUGAACAAUCAAGGGGCCUCCUUUGGGCAGAAAUCAGGAGGCAGAGAAUUUUGGAGUCUGGUCUAUGAGAGCCAUUGGAGCAGGCACGGGGUGGAGAGGGGACAAGGCAGGGCCUGACUGCUACUGCUCAUGCCUACAAUCUCUGUGGCAGGAGCUCUGAACCCAGGGCCUCAGGCUGGGACACGUGUUUGGUGACACUAAGCCUCACGCAGAGCAGAGGGGAGUGAGCCGUGGGGCCUAGGCCGAGAAGCCGGCUCAGAGACGUUUCUGUUCCUCCUGCUGUGCCGCCCGGGGCCAGGCCCCAACCCCUCCUGCAGAACCCGAGGCUCAUGGACACCACCGAAGACCACCGGUGCCCCCGGCUCCUCACUGUGCCUGGACUCCCUCACCCCCGGCCCAGGCCAGGGAGUCCAAGGAGGCCAGCAUUUCCACAGCCCUUCCAAGGGGCUGGGCCUGGGUUCUCCUUGCGACAGAACCCAGUCUCUCUUAAGGAGGAACCUGACCUGGCUCAGAUUCUCACCAGCAAGGGGGCUUUGGGCAAGCCGCCGGCCUCAGCGCUAAACUGGAGGGGCAAAGAUCACCUAUGUUCAGAGGCCAAGAGUCUGGGCUUCCAAACCUCUUAAGCAAAUUAAAAGAACAGAUGUAUAACCUCCAUUAGACGGGGUUUUGUGAUUUCAGCCUUUACUGGCGCAACUGUCCUCAUUUGACCAGUGAGAAAACAGAGUCCAGAGAGGUAAAGUGACUCACCAAGGACACACAGCAAGGCCGUGCAGGGGUAGAGCCUGUGGGCCCUGGAUGUGUGCAUCUUCCUCUUCCCCCACACAGGGCUAACCCACAGGGGAGCUUACUCUAGUGACUCAGGUCUGAUCUGCCCCGAACUCCUCUCAUUCCUCUAUUUCUUACAAACGAGAAAACUGAGGCUCAGGGGACCUAACUCUCUGGCCCGCGGUCACCCAGCCUUCUGCACGGGAGCUGGGGAGCUCACACUCUUCCUGUUCCUAUUCUGGAAUGCAGCCUCCCAAAUCCCCAGCCAGGCCUCCGAGGCUAGGCUUGUCUGUCCCACCCGGUCCCAGGCCUGGGCUGAUUAACAGCAGCUAAACUCCGGGCAGCCCGGGCAUCACCCACACGCCCCAGGCACCCCCAGGGCGCCCGGGUGCAGGAAGCUGCAGAUGCCCUGGCCCCGCGGUGCCCAGCCUCUCCUGCUCCAUGCUCUAGCAAGGAGGGAGGACAGCUCCCGCGGUUGGCAGAGCAGCAGCGCUCCGGCUGAU